AUUAACGAAGUGAUUGAUAUAUAUAGAGGCCCUUCGUGCCAGACCAUGGAGUAGCACUAAGCGUCCAUGUAUGCUUAGGUUUGUCGACCUGUUUAGAGGCUAUGCUUCUCAUCUACUUCCUCCGUUACAAAAUAAAUGUCGAUGUUUUAGUAUAAAACUUGUAUUAACUUAAUACUAAAUUUAUGUCACUUAUUUUAGGAUAGAAGGACUACAAAUCAGUGAGCAGCUGCGUGCAUUCCUGCCUAGAUGCAUGAUUGAACUUUGCAAAUCCAAAGGUGACUUCGCUUGCAAUCACCUGUGUUGCUUCACUGAUGACCAGAAUCCAGCAUUGUAUCUGAACUUUACGGCCAUUGCUAGGCAACUUCCGUGAGCAAAAUGACUACUGGAUCCCUCACCAGUAUAAAAAAAAAAA
This 412-nucleotide long non-coding RNA is filed under the name Hordeum vulgare. RNAcentral describes it as "long non-coding RNA (HVUL_LNC001782)". The record is from RNAcentral. Lineage: Eukaryota; Viridiplantae; Streptophyta; Magnoliopsida; Poales; Poaceae.